CACACAGUAGAAAUACUGCUUUGGGGGAGUUUGAAAACCACACAGGCUGUGCAAGCAGCCUGUAUGCGAGUAGACUCCCUGUUUAGACCCUUGUCUUUUGCGCACUCAUGUUUCCUCGGCGGGUCUGCCCGCCGAUUGGACAACUUAUCAACCUUUUUAAUCUUCAAUCAGCGUCUGAAAUUAUCAUAAUAAUUA
This 195-nucleotide unclassified non-coding RNA is filed under the name uncultured Ascomycota. Its description in RNAcentral is "sequence contains ITS1". Lineage: Eukaryota; Fungi; Ascomycota. The record is from RNAcentral.